Molecule: ribosomal RNA, 494 nt
Filed under: uncultured bacterium
Lineage: Bacteria
Description: partial 16S ribosomal RNA
Rfam family: Bacterial small subunit ribosomal RNA
Source: RNAcentral
GACGAACGCUGGCGGCGUGCUUAACACAUGCAAGUCGAACGGUGAAGCGCCUUCCUUUUUGGUGGGUGUGGAUGAGUGGCGAACUGGUGAGUAACACGUGAGUAACCUGCGCCCGUCUUCUGGAGAACCGCAGGAAAGUGAGGCUAAUACGGGAUAGUCUGGGUCUGUCGCAUGAUGGGUCUGGGAAAGAUAUUGUGUCGGUGGGGGAUGGGCUCGCGGCCUAUCAGCUUGUUGGUGGGGUGAUGGCCUACCACGGCGGUGACGGGUAGCCGGCCUGGGAGGGUGGACGGCCCCGCUGCUGAGGAGACACCGCCCCGACUCCUGCGGGCGGCAGUAGUGAAGAUUAUUGCACAGUCGGAGCAAUCCUGCUGCCGCGCCGCCGGUGGGGGGAUGGACUCCUUCGUGUUGUGAACCUCUUUCGCCAGUGAAGCAGGCCUGCCUCGUUUGUGGGUGGGUUGACGGUAGCUGGAUAAGAAGCGCCGGCUAACUACGUG